This 1290-nucleotide ribosomal RNA is filed under the name Triticum aestivum (bread wheat). Its description in RNAcentral is "partial small subunit ribosomal RNA". Lineage: Eukaryota; Viridiplantae; Streptophyta; Magnoliopsida; Poales; Poaceae. The record is from RNAcentral.
AUGGCAACCAACGCCGGCCACCCCGCCUGGCUCCUCACUGCCGCCGAAGGCUACGUCGGCGACCGGUCCAACGAGAGGACCGCCACAGGCUUCACGAGUAAGGGCCUGAGCAUCAAGGCGUCAUUUUUUCCCAACCGCCCGCCACAACCAUCCAAGCUAUGGGCGCACUGCCCAGAGGCCGCGGUCGUCGAGACCCCCCGUGUCCUCUGCAUCGCCGGCGACCUGAUCCUCUUCCGGGUCCCCAUCUCCUCCGGUCCUGUCCGAGGAAACAGUUUCUUGUGGCCGCUGGAUAGCGACUAUUUCGUCUACCGCGCUGACCCCAAUUUGCGAGUGCUCAAGCAACUCCUCACCGACGUGCACAGCAGAAAAUUCGAAGACUGUGAGGUUGGUAUUCUUCCCCGUGGUCUCCACGACUACACCAUCGCCGCGCUGGUUCCUGUUCCUCCCACCAUCGACACGUUCAAGCUCCAUUUGUUCCACUCCGAGACAUGCAGCUGGACCUCCAUGGUGCUGCCUGUGGCGGAGCCACAGGAGGGCUUCGAUCGCGUCAUCCCCACAAACACGGAUCUUCAUCGCCAUGAUACUUCCAACGUUAUCACAAUCGGUGGUGAGUACGGCACCAUGGGCUGGGUCGAUCUCUGGCGAGGGAUCCUGUUCUGUGAUGUGCUGCGUGAGAAGCCAGCUCUCCGUGGAAUACCGUUGCCGCUGCCGAUGUAUCAUAUCACAGGCGGCGAUGGGAAGGGAUUAUACUUAGGCCGUGCAAUGGAUUGCCGAGGCAUUGCCUUCGUCAAUGGCUGUCUCAAGUUCGUCCAACUGGACAUCACAGGCAAUUACCUCUUAAACGGUCCAAUAGACGGGGAAACAGGGUUUCCAGCUUUGCUGGUGUCUGACUGGGCGAUCUCCUCAUGGACCAAUAGCAAGAUGGACAAUUCUUACAAAGCUUGGGGCGAUGCUGAAUGCACGGUCCACGCUUCUGAGGUCACAAUCAAAACUGAUAUGAUUUCGGACCCGACUGGAAUGCUGCUGCUGCCAUCGGAGGAGGGUGUUGAGAACCCAGAACAAGAGGCAGCCUACUUCCCGCGGCUUGUGAUCUCGGACCCCUCUCCGAGCUUGGAUGGUGACGGUGUUGUUUACCUAAUUGCCAGGGAGAAAUUAUAUCACCCAAAGUCAUGGGUCCUUGCUCUUGACAUGAAUAGCAGGACGCUUCAAAGUGUUGUUCCGUUUGGCAUCGUAGAAGAUCCAUGUGAUUCUGUCGUGUAUUGCACUAGCAGGUCUGCCUCCAAUGCUUGA